Molecule: ribosomal RNA, 495 nt
Filed under: uncultured bacterium
Lineage: Bacteria
Description: partial 16S ribosomal RNA
Rfam family: Bacterial small subunit ribosomal RNA
Source: RNAcentral
AUGAACGCUGGCGGCGUGCCUAAUACAUGCAAGUCGAGCGAACGGACGAGAAGCUUGCUUCUCUGAUGUUAGCGGCGGACGGGUGAGUAACACGUGGAUAACCUACCUAUAAGACUGGGAUAACUUCGGGAAACCGGAGCUAAUACCGGAUAAUAUUUUGAACCGCAUGGUUCAAAAGUGAAAGACGGUCUUGCUGUCACUUAUAGAUGGAUCCGCGCUGCAUUAGCUAGUUGGUAAGGUAACGGCUUACCAAGGCAACGAUGCAUAGCCGACCUGAGAGGGGGGACGGCGCAGGAGGAACUGAGACCAGGUCCAGAAACCCACGGGGGGGCAACGUAGGGAAUCUUACGACAUUGGAGAGAGCCUGAAGGAGGGACGACGGGGGAGUAAAGAAGGUUUUGGGAUUGUAAAAAUCUGUUAUUAAGAAAAAAAAAAUGCGACAGUAACCGUGCACCUAGUGACGGGACCAAAUCAGAAAGCCACGGCUAACUACGU